GACGGAGGAUGCAAGUGUUAUCCGGAAUCACUGGGCGUAAAGCGUCUGUAGGUGGUUCGAAAAGUCCACUGUUAAAGAUUGAGGCUUAACUUCAAAAAUGCCGUGGAAACUUUCAAACUAGAGUAUGGUAGGGGUAGAGGGAAUUUCCAGUGGAGCGGUGAAAUGCGUAGAUAUCGGAAGGAACGCCGGUGGCGAAAGCGACGUGCUGGACCUCUUCUGACGCUGAGGCGCGAAAGCCAGGGGAGCAAACGGG
This 253-nucleotide ribosomal RNA is filed under the name uncultured bacterium. Its description in RNAcentral is "partial 16S ribosomal RNA". It matches the Rfam family "Bacterial small subunit ribosomal RNA", at positions 524 to 776 of the family's 1533-position model. The record is from RNAcentral.